RNAcentral lists this transfer RNA (69 nucleotides) under Orbinia latreillii. RNAcentral's name for it is "tRNA-Asn". The record is from RNAcentral. Lineage: Eukaryota; Metazoa; Annelida; Polychaeta; Orbiniidae.
UAAGCGGAAGCCAAUAAUUAGGCAUCUAGCUGUUAAUUAGACCUAAGCCACGCAUAGUGGCCCGCUUAA